CCUACGGGAGGCAGCAGUAGGGAAUAUUGCUCAAUGGGGGAAACCCUGAAGCAGCAACGCCGCGUGGAGGAUGAAGGUUUUAGGAUUGUAAACUCCUUUUGUGAGAGAAGAUAAUGACGGUAUCCCACGAAUAAGCACCGGCUAACCCCGUGCCAGCAGCCGCGGUAAUACGGAGGGAGCAAGCGUUACUCGGAAUUACUGGGCGUAAAGGGUGCGCAGGCGGGCUUGUAAGUCAGAUGUGAAAUCCUGUAGCUUAACUACAGAACUGCAUUUGAAACUAUGAGUCUAGAGUGUGGGAGAGGUAGGUGGAAUUCGUGGUGUAGGGGUAAAAUCCGUAGAUAUCAAGAGGAAUACUGAUUGCGAAGGCGACCUACUGGAACAUUACUGACGCUCAUGCACGAAAGCGUGGGGAGCAAACAGGAUUAGAUACCCGGGUAGUC
This 440-nucleotide ribosomal RNA is filed under the name uncultured bacterium. RNAcentral describes it as "partial 16S ribosomal RNA". It matches the Rfam family "Bacterial small subunit ribosomal RNA", at positions 338 to 795 of the family's 1533-position model. The record is from RNAcentral.